Molecule: non-coding RNA, 181 nt
Filed under: Pseudoalteromonas sp.
Lineage: Bacteria; Pseudomonadati; Pseudomonadota; Gammaproteobacteria; Alteromonadales; Pseudoalteromonadaceae
Description: FMN sequence
Rfam family: FMN riboswitch aptamer (RFN element)
About the family: The RFN element is a highly conserved domain that is found frequently in the 5'-untranslated regions of prokaryotic mRNAs that encode for flavin mononucleotide (FMN) biosynthesis and transport proteins.
Source: RNAcentral
GUACAUUCUCAGGGCGGGGUGAAAUUCCCCACCGGCGGUAUGUUUUACUCAUGACUUUAUGAAUAAAAUGAGCCCGCGAGCGCUUUAUUUAAUAAUCGUUUUUAAUGUAUUAAAUAAAGGUCAAGCAGAUCUGGUGAGAGGCCAGAGCCGACGGUUAUAGUCCGGAUGAAAGAGAAUAUAG